CAUAAGACCAGCAUGGGCGUCAGGAUGGAAUCACAUACUCAGGUCUUCAUAUUCCUGCUGCUCUGGUUGUCUGGUGCAGAUGGGGACACUGUGAUGACCCAGUCUCCCGCAUCCAUGUCCACGUCAGUGGGAGAGAGGGUCACCGUGAACUGCAAGGCCAGUCAGAGUGUGGGUACUGUUGUUGCCUGGUUCCAACAGAAACCAGGGCAGUCUCCUAAACGGCUGAUCUACUUGGCAACCAAUCGGCACACUGGGGUCCCUGAUCGCUUCACAGGCAGUGGGUUUGGGAGAGAUUUCACUCUUACCAUCAGCAAUGUGGAGGCUGAAGACCUGGCUGUUUAUUACUGUCUGCAGUAUGACUCCAUUCCUCCCACAGUGUUUCAACCUCAUACAGAAACCUCCUCUGCUAUUCUAACCAGCUGCAUGCACCACACAGCCCUUGACCUACACACUUUCCUUCUGCCUACAACUGCUAUGCCUAACUGA
Molecule: non-coding RNA, 486 nt
Organism: Rattus norvegicus (Norway rat)
Lineage: Eukaryota; Metazoa; Chordata; Mammalia; Rodentia; Muridae
Source: the annotation of a RefSeq genome assembly